UGUAACAGAGAAGUUUUUGUUUUUGUCUUUGUGUCUGAAGAGUUGGCCGUCUCUCUCUCUCUCUCUCUCUCUCUCUUGAUCUACAGAUGGAUUCACUGUCAGUUCUCACCCCUCUUUUGAUGAUGCAGUGAAAUCAGUCUCUAAACUCAGAGACAAACUGCAGCAGUUCUGCAUAGAUGAUGUAGAAAACAUAUCAAAAAUAGUUAAAUACUGAUUUAUUUUCAGAAAAAAGUUUAUUAAAUAUAAAAUAGUUGUAGUUUAAUUUUAAUGUGACUUAAGAGUUUAAUUGCAGAUGUGUUUUGUAGUGAAAACCGUCCAUGUCAUCCAGACUCCAGAAUGUCAGACCAGAGUGGAGUUUCAAGAAGAUUCUCAUCCAGUGGGUUUCACAGCCAAGAAGGCUAAAGAUCUUGGCUGUGAAAGAAGGCCCAGACUAAAGCCACAGUUUAGGUCCACACUCAUACCCACUUACUCAUCUUUCACCACUUUCCCCAGAACAAAUUUAAGCUUUUUGGUAUUCACACCCCGUUGAAGACUUAUUAGCCGGAACUCAACUUGAGUGCACCAGGAUAUGAAGAUUUUUACAUCAGCAGCACUCUUUGCAUUUUUUUUUUUAUAAGUUUGUGAACUCUUUCAAAACAUUUUGAUUUCUGCAUUGCUUACUCAUAAAAUAUGGUCUGUUCUUUUAUCAUUUUUAUUAAAUACAGUGAGUGAUUAUUCACAGUGGAGUAACAAAAGCUGAAUAUUUUCAAAGGUUAACAAACUUAUUCUUGCCUCUGUAUAACAAAAACAUUGUCUUAAUACAAACAAGUAUCAUAAGUUUCAUAAUCAUAAUACACGAGUAUCAAUUCUCUUUUGCUAUCUCAGGUAUUUUGUUCAAUGAAUAUUGAAAAAUGUGUUGAAAUAUGAUGUAACCCUUGUUUGAUUGUGAAGCUUUCAGAUCUCCCAAUAAAAUAUUUUGAGUUUUGAUUCACAGUGCAGGGUAGUGAAAAUAAGUGAACCCUUGUAUUCAGUAACUUGUACAGCAGAUCCUCAUUUAGUAGCAAAACCUCCACCGAUCAUUCUCUAUAUAGCUCCUUUCUUGGAUCAUCCUUACACACAAACCUGUCAAGCAUCUCUGUUUCCUCUUUAGAAAACAUGCCACAGCUGAGGCGACACUGACGUGCACCUCUCCAAAAAUGUCACAGUGCAUCAAAUCUACGCGGACCGCAAGCGCUGUGAUUGGUCUGCUAGUACCCCUCCCUCUAUAUGUAUUUGAUGCCGUGUUCCAGGCAACCCUUAACCCGUGUUUUUCCAACCCAUGUUUGAAAGUGCACUGAAACGGCAGUCAAACCCGUGACUUCCCACCCGUGAACUCGUACUAGAUCGAUGUACUCCCAGUUCCAAGCUCUGAUGUCACAUAGCCCGCGAAACAACAGUUGCAGCCCCUACGGAUAAUAGUGCCUACGUAUGCGGUGUUUAUGCAAGUGGUACACAGUGAAAAAUAGACUUUAGGACAAUAUAACGUUACAAUAAAAUUAAUAAUCUAGCUACAAUUCCUUGUGCUCAGGCAGACUUGCCUGGAUUGCUACAAAGUCAUGAGUCGUGGUUUGAAGUCAUGAUUUACGGGCUCAAAAACCUGCCUGGAACGCAGCAUGAGUUUUGUGUGUGUUUUUUUGCACUUUUAUAUAUUUUAAUGUUACACCUUCUUAUUUAAAAUAAAACAAAGCAAAGAACAAGUGUCUUAUCAUUUAUUAUAAAACGUAGCAUUACAUCACAUUGUUGUCCACAACAAACAGUUGUUCUGCCAUGGUACGUUACAAGUCCUUGUGGAGAUUGAAAGAAUGCCAUCUUCUGCUGUUCCGGUGUCAUCUCUUUUUUGUAGUUUUAAAUAAAUUAUCGGUUCUUUGAUAUUUAUUUGCCGCAGUCACGGCUAUAACGCUUUUCCAAUGAGCCA
Long non-coding RNA from Cyprinus carpio carpio, 1933 nucleotides. Lineage: Eukaryota; Metazoa; Chordata; Actinopteri; Cypriniformes; Cyprinidae. The record is from Ensembl.